Molecule: long non-coding RNA, 11037 nt
Organism: Neofelis nebulosa (Clouded leopard)
Lineage: Eukaryota; Metazoa; Chordata; Mammalia; Carnivora; Felidae
Exons: 2
Source: RefSeq, a predicted model, not a curated record
UGGGAGGGAGGGGCAGAGGGAGAAAGAGAAUCCUAAGCAGGCUCCACACUCAGUGCAGACCCUGGGAUCAUGGCCUGAGCCGAAAUCAAGAGUCAGAGGCUCAAGGACUGAGCCACCCAGGAGCCCCACAAGGAUUCUUCAAGUGGUGUAAGAUCUAGGGGCACAGAGGGCCACUCACUGCAGGAGAAGACUCUCCCUGUAGAGACCGACUUUGACACCACAGCACAUGGCCGAUGAAAAUGAAGGAGAAACCAGGGUGACACAAUUCUCAUCCGCUACUUACUCUCUUCGCUGUGGAGACGACCAGAAGUGAGCCCUAGGAUUUAAUCAAAACCAUUUCUUUUGUGCAACAUCGCUCUGAAUUCAACCACAUGGGACCUGGCAGGCAAGUGUUGGUAACAGACCCUGCAUCUGUCUCGUGUCCAUCAAUGUCAUGGUUAGCUUGGAAGCUGACAAAGCAUCAUAAGUUUCUUCUCAAUCCAUUUAAAAUGAACCCCAGUUAAAAUAAAAAGUAACACAAAUCAAACAGGUUUUUUUGAAUAUUAAUUCUGUAGGCACACUGUCAGAAUCAUAAAUGAGUUUUGCAUAAGGAGUAAAAUGAAAGAUAACUAAACACUUAUCUUUAGGAAGAAUGUCCACAAAUGGCUAUAUAUGUUACUGUGAAUUGUUCUUAAAAGUAAACCUUCUGAUGUAUUCAAAAUAAUUAAGAGUGGACAAAAAUCUCCCCACACCAAUGCAAUUAUGUACAUGUUCAGUAGGCAAAUAGUCACGCCUUGAGCUCAGAGUCUAGGAUACAACCAUCAGUCAAUCCAUUCUUUGUUCCUUUCCCCCUUGUCUCCAAACUUUCUCUCACUACCUAAAUACCCACAUAGGAUUCCAAAUGGGUCCAAUAGCUCAUCUGGGCAAGGAAUAAUGUCCGGGACAUGCUCGUUAUUGUAUUUUAGGCAUUUGUUGACAAAGAUGUAUUGGGUGGGUUUGUUUUUGUUUUUGUUUUUGUUUUUCUAUCUGGGGAUGUUCCACCUAUCCUGGCAUGGAAGGAAAACUGGGCUGAGGGGGUCCUGCCUCAGCCAGCAGGGUCACCGUCUACUCUGCAGAUGUUGGUGGAGUCUUAAGGAGCAUGAGGUCUUGAGACAGGGAAGAGACCCAGUGGUCUACUUUGCCUUCUAAUCUAAAGCCAAGUGUCUUAUUUUCAAUUAUUCCCAUUAACAUCGUGCAGUCAGCAGCUGGGUGUAAAGCUCAGGACCUGCCCCGAGGGAUGGACAGCACGGUGGCCUGUAAGACCACGGCACCACCUGUGUGUUCAGAUGUCAUCCCUUCCCUCCUGAGAGCCAGGCCACCUGCCAGGCCAGCUGCAGAACCAGUUACUUCUACACCAUAUUUGACAUGGACAUAAGACAUGGUACUUUUCGUGACAGGAGGAAUGUCCACACAAGUUAUCAUCCAAACAGGACACUUUUGAAAGAGGCAACUAUUCAUAAUCAUAACAGGUCAACAGAUAUGAAUGGAGGCUGUCCCAGGCACACGGAGACACAUAGCUAUUAGCCAGAGGAACCUUUUCAGGACGCCUACCUCUUCUCUUCAGUAGACUUGCAAUGAAGACAUUCAUAGCUUCCCUGAGGCCCCACCUCUGGAGUUAUACUGCCUGGAAAUAUUUUGAGAAUGUACCUUGGGGCAAAACAGAUUUGUUGAAGAAAAUGUCCUCACAAAUGUGGAGCAAAAACUACAGAAGAAGCCGUCUUCCCCCUUUGCCCUCCCAGUGCGGUCGGAGGAGAUUCUAGAAUUAGAAACGAAACCAAAAAAUGAAAGACCUGAUCUGAGAGCUUAAUUCUCCCCUUCAGGAAACAAACACCCAGCGUGGCCAGUGGGUUCUUUAAAAACAUUCCCCAUCCAUUUUCCACCUUGUGUUCCUUUGGUCUGCAGUUGACUGGCUCUCAUUUCAUUUUUGGAAAAAAGUGAUUGUAUCUCCAGCCUAGAAACUUUGAUACACUGUGCCAUUAUCAAGGAAGUCUCCUACGUGGGGAUUGCACAUCUACCCUGCCAGAGCACGGCGGCAUGUGGUCCCGUAGACAUCAUUUUAUGCUUUCUUCUUGCUUUAUUUGAAAUACGUUUCAUGUACCAUCUCCAACAAAAAUGCAGUCGUUCAACAAGGAGAGAGACAGAGGGCCCUGAGCUGCCCAGGGAGAAGGCCAGGUCUGGGGCCGCAGAGUGGGGAGGAGUGUAAGUAAAGGCCUGGGCAGAGCGGCAAGAAAUAUUUGGCAUUCCUGGCUUCCCACAAAGGGUAGGUCACGGAGAGGGAACAAGCAGUUGGGAUGGAGUAUGUACACCACAACUAUUCUUUCUCAGGCCACAUCCAGGCCACUCUAUCACAGCAACGUCCCCGGUGGGAAGACCCCGAGUUUACUCCGCAGUGAGGGAAAUGCUCCGGGUAAUUACACACGAUGCCUGUCUAUACGCGGGAUGGGGUCAAUGUCUGUGGCAAAGACAGCUGCUGGUUUUGAGGCUGUGUGUUAAAUCCACUUUGGCUAACGACCGCUUAGUGCAUUUAAGGGACGGAGCACUGAGCGUCCCCUUCCACAGGCCCUGGUCAAAGCAAAGCCCACUUCUUCGUGACGUGCCCACAGGUGGUCUGUUUCAGAGGCCUGCCAUCAGCUUCUUGGAUGGGGAUUUUGGAAGAAGAACCACGCUCGCUAUUUCCUGGGUAGUGAAUUAAAGACAUGCCUCUCUUCUCUCUGAAACUUUGGGAAAGAAAAAAAAAAAAAAAAAAAAACCACCGUCAUUCAUAACAACAUAACCACACAUACAUCAAGACAAAAAUAAUCAUUUAGUUGAAAAGAGAUUUUGUCAUCAGCAGGCUUUCUUUCUGCCCACCUCGCUGGGCAGGGUAAUUUGGCCCCUGCAGCCAGAUCUAUAAAAUGCUGCAGUAAGAUGGCUUCACGAGGUUUCUCAGCCACGGGAAUUUCCAGCUACUGGAAAGACCCAAGGCCAGCGUAAGCUCAUUUAUUUUUCUUAAUUUGAGUGUCAGGUUAUAGACUAAAUAGCAGAUGCCUGAUGUUCUCAAGUGCUUGCGAGGCAAAUGUCACGGGACAGGACAACGAAUGGAAGAAUGCAUGGAAAAUGGGACAUCAUGCCCCAGGGUCAGCAGGUGGGCAGACCGCAUGGAAACCUUCCCCUUGGAGUCAUGGAGGUGAAGUUUCCGGGUGAUAAAUCUGAGAAGGUGCCUCCCGUUGCAGGGCUCAGAGCAGCAGGAUGGCCUUCUUGCCCCUUGUACGCUGUGGCCCCGUGGCCCAAGGAGAAGUGGUGGUUUGGAAAUCAUGUUAAGACUUCUCCAUGUGGCAAGAGUCGUUAGGGAGUGUUUUUGUUUUCUUCUUCUGAACAAGUAGUGUCCUAACACAGCGGCCACAUGUUUUGCAUUUCCUGUGACAGUCCUAAUUUCUAAUAUUUUUGUGUGCACAUCCUGAUAAGUAUACCAGGAUCACUUUCGCUCAGCAUUAGGUUCGGAAAACUUGGUGGCAGAAAUCUUAGAGCAUCUGUGUAUUUUACAGGAUGAGCAGAGGAGGAGAGAAGGGAAGGGGAGGCACGGAACCCCUAGUUCAGGACAGGUAACGUGCCAGUAAUCUGUACCGUUGGCAUGUUUGGUUCCCACAGGGGUGGGCAGCAUUGCUCUGGUUUUAAAAAUGAGGAAACCAGCUCAAAGGAGCUCGGCAGCUCACCCAAGGUGGCUGGCUGAGUAGCAAUGAUACCAAACUUUGGAUCCAGAUCUGACUCUAACACCCAUGGCUUCUCCACCUUUGGGUAAGUCACUCAUUCUGUUCUCACGAAGCUUCGUCAUUCUUAGGGAGGUGAGAUUUACAAACAUGAAAAUUCUAGAUGAUAAAGAUGGGAUAUAACGUGUUACGUUAUGACAAAUGAUCAGCGCUGUUAAUCAGAUAAGUUACCCAUCUGUUGCAAAAUAUGGCCCACAUGUACGCCCAAGUUAUAUUCUUGGUGGAAUAAAUUUCCAUUUUUUUCAUUAUUUCUUGAGGAUUGCAAAUUCAAUGGAGAACGGAGUGUCUUUCAACCCCAUGUGGGGACUGGAACUCAAAGGGGUCCAGACCCUUCAGUCAAGAUGCUGACUCUGCUCAGGAGGCACCCCCACACCGUCAGUGUCACGUCACGUGCUUGAUGAUGGCACCACGCUGCAGAGAUGGAGACAGUGCCAACGGUUGCCCUCCAACAGGUAGCGAGGGCUGUGAUGCUUUGCAAGGACUGUCGGCAAGGACAAUACGUUCCAUUCCAUAAAUGGUCACCGCGUACCUGCUACAUAGAAAGCACAAUGUUGAAACAUGCCGCCUUCCGGCUUCCAGCUUCUGAGAGGAGACAGAAAACAACUAUCGUAUAAAAAAAAAAAAUGCCAGUUGAUAGAUGCAAAUAAUAUACUCUGGCAAUUCCGAAGGGGAGUGAUAUCCCUGCAUCUAAUGGAGAGAUCAGUGGAAGAGGCAUUUGACAUAGGCCUUGAAGUAUGUGUAGGAGUCCAACGGACGGGUGGGGAAGGAAAAACAGAAGCUAAUAUGCUCAAGGAGGAGAACGGAAUCUGUCUAAACAGUGGUGAGUCAUCUAGCUCGUCUGGGUUGUGGAAUAUAUGAGAGGGAGUAGUAAUAAGGCUUUUUUUCCAGGCUUGCACUUCACCUUGAACUUCAGUCUGUGCAAGAUCCAUCACUUCUGGCUUGUCCUCCUGGGGAGAGCAGACUCUCUCAGUCAGCAGGCGGCCUUGCCAGUGGGCAGGGGGCCGAGCAGCUCUCCUGUGUGUGUGUGGAUGAAGGCCAGGGAUACAGGGGCAGCAGCGGUUUUUCCCCGGUGAGAAACUAGGCCUAGUUGGUGAGAACUAACCUCGCGGGCCUGGGAAGCUGAUCUGGCCCUGUUCCUGAACUCCUGCCUUCUCUGCCCCAAAGCUCUAAGCCCCUGGACAGAAGGCUGGGUCAGCUCUGCUUGCAGCCAGAGGACACUGAGAAGGCCACGUCUCACAGGCGCCCUUCUCUCAGGUCCCCAAAGCCUCUAGGGCGGACAGCCAGCGUCACUUUCCAUCUGGCCCCAGGCAAUGGCUACCUAGCAACUGAGCCAUAGACGUUUGCCCUUAGGAUAUAGUCUGAGUGUUGGUCUGGGGUUUAUUUUUUUUUUAAUUUUUUUUAACGUUUAUUUAUUUUUGAGACAGAGAGAGACAGAGCAUGAACGGGGGAGGAGCAGAGAGAGAGGGAGACACAGAAUCGGAAGCAGGCUCCAGGCUCUGGGCCAUCAGCCCAGAGUCCGACGCGGGGCUCGAACUCACAGACCGUGAGAUCGUGACCUGAGCUGAAGUCGGACGCUUAACCAACUGAGCCACCCAGGCGCCCCUCGGUCUGAGGUUUAAAACCAAACCAAACAAAUUCUGCCCCACUGCAUCUUCAACUGUUGAUUUCUGGUGAAGUGUCUUCUAAAGGCACAAUCAGCCCUCCUGUGAACAGAAGUGAGCAAUUGAAAACCUUGCUCUCUGGGGCACCUGGGUGGCCUAGUUGGUGGAGCGUCUGACUCUUGAUUUCAGCUCAGGUCAUGAUCUCUCAGUUCAUGAGUUCUAGCCCUGCUCUGACAGUGUGGAGCCUCCUUGGGAUUCUCUCUCUUCCUCUCCUCCACUUGGGCACUCUCUCUCUCUCUCUCUCUCUCUCUCACACACACACACACACACACACACACACAUGCGCACAAAAAAUAAAUAAACUCUAAAAAAAAAAAAAACCCACAAAACCUUGCUUUCACUCUUCCCUCAUUUCCUUGCCCUGUGAAAGCAUCUGGGUCUAAAUUGGGCCCCAACUUAUCAGUAUGAUGCUUGCUACCCAUCACAACUGACUGGGGAGUUGUUGGAAAUGCAAAUGCUGGGUUCACCCCAGGCUAAGAGAUAGGUCUGUGGGUUUGAUUUUAUUUUUAUGUAUGUCCCCCAAGUGCCUGGGCAAAUGCCGUAUAACUUUGGAUAUCCACAUUUCCUUUUUGUUGCAUCCUAGAAUUUCCAGCUGGGACGAGUUCUGAACAUCAGCUAACACAGCACUUUCUAAAUUCAUGGGAGCAGGAUGCCAGUCUAGGAACUAGGGAGAUAGCAAGUAGCGUUUCCUCAGUGGAUCUGACUGGAAAUCAACUUCUCUUGGAGCAUAGAUUGGCAUCUCAUGCCUAAAGUACAGCAUGAGAAUGUUGGUCUAGUUCAAUCUCCUCUUUAUGCAUUUGAAGAAGGAGAACUGCUGUGCCCCAUGGCACAUAGCUCUAGACCCGCAGGCUCACUUCCCCUGCCGGUGCUGCUUUGGAAUGAUCCCUUCUAUUUCCCUGACUUGGGUGAGAAGGGCAUGUGUGAACAGAUGAGACACUUGUGGGAAAACCAUGUUCUAGAAGUGUGUGAGGUGAUGUAUGCUGUUUUGACUUGGACUUUUUCUUUAAAAAAAAAAAAAACUUGUUAUUUGAGAGAGAGAGAGAACUCGAGGGAGGGGCAAGGGGAGGGAGAGAGAGAGAGAGAGAGAGAGAGAGAAAGAAUCCCAAGCAGGUUCCAAGCUAUGAGCACAGAGCCCAACGUGGGGCUCGAACUCAUGAAUCGUGAGACCAUCACCUGAACCAAAAUCAAGAGUUGGACACUCAACCAACUGAGCCACCCAGCUGCCCCUAACUUAGACUUUUCCUGAGCAUUGCUUUGAGUCUGUAGCAACCACUGCCAUCAUAGAACAUCUUAGAACCACUGAAGAAAAGAGCAAUUCCAGAUUUGGGGACUUGGUGAGCAAAAAUUCUCUACUUCCUCCCCAGCUUGAGCACGGCUUCUUCAUUGGAGUCCAGGCGCCUACAGCACAGGAAUCGACCUCCAGCCACAGGGACUAUCUAGGCUGCCCUGGGGUCACCAGGGGUAGCAGAAGAGACGAGGACGAGCCGCAGGAGCACAGGAAGCCGGGAGGCUGCCGUGGGAAGCAAGAGGAAGGUGGGAGGGGGGGCGGACAUAAUGUGACUGCUCUGGUCCCUCACUGGCUCACGUACUCACCUGGCACCUGACACCGCAUGCUGCCAGCAAAGUGGAUCCUUCAUCGAAUGAUGCAAGGACUAUGAACUUAUCUGCUUUACGCCCUCAGGACAUCUAAGCGUGGUGCCUUGUUCCUACAAAUUGCUCUGUGAUUAUAUAAUGAUGGACCAAGAGUGACACAGCAGGGAACCUUUCCAUCUGCAGAGGAAAACUGCUCUUACACACACUGUCCCAGGGAAACCACCUUCUCUUCCAGAAGGCAAGCGUCUCUUGCUAUUUGGAACUGCCUGUUGACCCCCAUUCCUCUUCAGCCCAUUAGUCAGAGGUAGAGCUGCUCCUGGAUAACACCCUUACACACCCUUACACACACACACACACACACACACACACACACACACACAAUCUGUUAACUUUUGGAUCUUUGCCCAGAAGCCUCCAGAAGCCCAGACCCAAUCCUGGGUUCCCAGGUCCAAAAUUUUUGUAGCAAGAAAAAGCAUUCUCAUCUGAAACUUUUAAUAGCAUAUAAAUAAAGUGAUCCAGACUCCAAAUGGCCCAGGCAAGGCCACCCCAUAUAGGGCCGUGAAUAUCACAAUAGGUGAUUGUUUUAAAGUGUUUUAAUGAGUCUUAAAACAUCCUACAUAAUAUCAGCCUCCACUCCAGUCCUCCUGACAGGCUCCAGUAAAUAACAUGAGUUGACAGGAAUAAAACAGCUUGCUCAGGAGUAAUUGAGUGGAAUUAGAAUGAACAGACAAGAAAGAAAAAUUGGUGCUUGGGUCACAAGGAACUUUUUGUUGGGAACGCCCUGGGGGAUUUGGUGGGAUGUGGCCCCGCUGACUAAUCACCAGUAUAGAAAGUUUACAGUCUCUCCACCAUGCCAGCGUCUUUAAUAACUUGAAAAGCACAAGAGGUGGCUGUUAAUUUCAAAGACAGUUAUAUGAAGCUUUUAUUGAGUGUGGCGCAGAGUAUAUAGUUAGCAGCCUGUGAGAUAAUGAACCCUUUAAAUAGGGUUUUCAAAAACAAAACCAUCUUAUUUUUGCUUGAGCCAAAAGAACAGCAAUGUUCUCCUGUUAUUUGAAAGCCGAAAAAAUAUAUAUAAAGUAGGAUCUCUCCAUUGCACACGAGAAGAGUCGCUUUCUUCACCAAGGGCGUGUGCCAUGCCAUGGAACCAUGGACACUUAGAGGGACUCAGCUGACCUUGCCAGGACAUACCUUUGCCGGGAAGCAAGCAGAUAGGGGAGGAAGGGGUUAAAUGUGAUGGCUGCCACCCUCAUGAGCAUUGGCUCCUGGGCCUUCUCUCCCUGACCUGGGCUGACAAUACUGGGAAGAGGUGGGGCCCCCUCUGGCCCCCCAGUGUCAUGAAGUGAGUAAACCAGAGAUCAAACCAGUGGCUUCUUGAAUUUAAAGAGAUAAAGAACCAACCUGUGAAAAAAGCAGGACUCCACAUGCCUCCCCUGGGCGUUCUGGGGCUGGAGACAGCGGGCCGGGAGCAGGGUGGGCAGACAUUGCCUGUCCAGUCUAGAACCACUUAGGAUGGCCUGCUCUGACCUCUUGACGAGGCACGUGAGGAAUGGACGCGGUGAAGUGAGCCGUUGAUGGGCCUGGAAUCUCCAAGCCACUGUGACCGGGGACCCUGACUUCACCCCCUGGCAACAUCUAUGAUUUUGACCCAUGGAGUACCUUGUGCUUUUAUCAUUGUCUCUCCCUCUUUCCCUCCCUUCCUCUCCUCCUCUUCUCCAUCUCUCUUCCUCCUUCCCUCCCUCUUCCCUCCCCUCCCCGACCCCGACUGCGCUAGAUGUAUACGUGCGUGAAGAGACUGAGAUGGAGAAAUCGGUCCAGCCCACUUUAGAAGUCAUCUGUUUUUCCCUCACCCUAUCAUUCUUGCAUUCGAUGUUCAUUAACCCCUUGCCAAGAACAGGGCUUCCAAGUGUGAGCGAGGCAGACAUGGCUCCCCUCCCCCUCCCUCUACCCCCAACACACAGGCGAGUCCUACCUGGCCCAGCUGGCAGUGGUCAGGGGCAGUGCUGAUGGACAGGACAGGUGCUACCCCGACUGCAGGACCCGGUGGGCCUGUUGCUGGUCUUUGCUGUGCCCCUCCUUCAUUCCACGGUGGGUCUGUUGUGACAAGGGCUUUGCCCAUAGGACCCCCUGGGCUGAGGAACAAUGCCACCAAAUCUGACUGACCAAGGACUGCAAAACAAAACAAAGAAACAGGGCUUCUCUCAGCCAGUCCUGGGGAGCAAAUAAUGUAAACAAAAAGAUUAAUUAAAGGAGAAUGAAUUAUUUCCUGCCUCAGCACUGGCAACAAGCAGAAUCUAAGAACUUAAUUCAGUCUUGUUAUUAGCAACAUAUACCCUGCUUUUUUUUUUUUUUUUAAGACACACUUCUGUCCCUCACGUGAUAUGGGGAAUUUAGCCAUUUCCAGGAGUUUUUUCUGCAAAACAUGCAUCAAGUUGGAUCUCUUCCCGAGCUGUAAAUUCUUGCCAGCCCAGGAAAACUCCUUCUAGAAGCUUUUGGGAUCUGGUGAGCCCUGAAGGAAAACUCCCAGCCUCACUCCUUUCCAGCAGUUUGGGAACAUGCUGGAGCUGCGUCUGUGGGAGUCUGGAAUGCUUGCUUAGGAAGGCCCUUUGUUGGCCGCAUCGCCUUGGAGCCACUUGCAGAUUCCCGCUGGUCUAGGAUGUAUCAAGAAGCCAGAGAACAACCUUGUUUUAGGAAAAGAGGGAACUGCUUCUUCUAACGCUGUCAGGAAGCAAAACAGUCAAAUUUUCUUUUCCGGAGGUCUGAACAGAGGCACGGAUAUUUGAAUGAAUGCACUUUUAAAGUCUCAAUGCUCUAAUUGCCAGUGGUCCCCAGUCCUUGCGGUGUCGUAGAAGCACCUGAGAAUGAGUCAGAAUAUGAGCUGCUCUUCUCCAUGUCCUGUCUCCCCCACAGGAAGCUUCUUGUGUGGUACCUAGGAAUCUGGAUUUUCAAGAAACUCCGUAAGUGAUCGCUGUGCAACCAGUACAGUGCCACCACCCAUGAAGUGACGGCAAUUACUGUCACCUAGGGGCUGCCCACAUGGCAGGGACAGCAGAAGGAGCUAAGAUUGAGAUGUUCUGGAGAAGCUCUUUCUUAGGAAAGGUGAUCUUGGGGGUUCGGUUAGGCAAGGGAGAGAGAGAACGUUCAGUCCGGGGUGCUCCUGAGUCAAAGCCAACCAUCACCUUCUUAAGGAUGUCAGCUUGCUGACUCGCCAUCCUGGGUAGCUUAAUGGGCCCCCAGCAGCCCCCAGAGAGGAGGUCAGCUGGAAGACGAGUGCUGGAAAUACCAGCACGUGACAAAUACCUCUGCUGGAGAGCACUGGUGAGAUUCCCUGAGGACGCCCUGUGAAUCACCCUGAGUGGCAAGGCCAAGGUCAAGAGGUGGGUGUUUCUGGUCAACCCGAGGCUUCACAAAAUCAUUUCCUUUUGCCUUCACUUCAGACCUCACCUGUCAAUGUGGCUUCUGCCAGGUACGCAUGUGCUUUCUGCCCAAGGCUCCUCGAGCUGCCCAGUGCUCACACAGCCAGGGUGCGAACAAGCCUGUACUGAGCCAUCCCUUUGGGUUAGAAUGAAUGCUCGAGAAAAGCAGGAGGCAUUUCUGACCUUUUUGGAGUUUCAGUAAUCUCCCCUACAAGCAUUUGACUAUGAAUCUUCUGGGCAAGGAAGCAGCUUGCUUCCUGAUGUAGAGCCCACUUUUCCACAGGGAAAGAAAUAGCUUGUGAGCUCGUAUCCAGGGUUUGCCCUUUUUAACAGCAAAACACAGUUACGUGACCAUUCAGAGCUUCUCUUCUAGCCAACAUGGGGCGUGGAUGUCUGAAGUGGACAGGCUACCUGUGCCUCGAGCCCCGGGUGGGUCAGAACCAUGAUGGGAUCCGCCUUGGCCUCUGGGAAGAUGGCUCUAUGCCACCGGGUACUCAGGAAGCUGGGGACAAUGCGACACCAGUCCAUCAACAACUAUCUACUGAGCCCCUGCCAUUGUCAGACACUCUUCCGGACUGUGUGUCUUACGAAUUGACUUUGAGAGCA